This 253-nucleotide ribosomal RNA is filed under the name uncultured bacterium. RNAcentral's name for it is "partial 16S ribosomal RNA". It matches the Rfam family "Bacterial small subunit ribosomal RNA", at positions 524 to 776 of the family's 1533-position model. The record is from RNAcentral.
UACGUAGGGGGCAAGCGUUGUCCGGAAUUAUUGGGCGUAAAGCGCACGUAGGUGGUCUGUUAUGUCAGAUGUGAAAGCCCUCGGCUUAACUGAGGAAGUGCACCUGAAACUGGCAGGCUUGAGUACGAAAGAGGGUCGCGGAAUUCCCGGUGUAGAGGUGAAAUUCGUAGAUAUCGGGAGGAACACCGGUGGCGAAGGCGGCGACCUGGUUCGAUACUGACACUGAGGUGCGAAAGCGUGGGGAGCAAACAGG